CCCGUCGAGACGUGUACCGAUUAGGAAUCGCCCUGUCUGUACCAGGUCUUCGUGUUCGUCUACGCAGACGACAUUCUACUGAUGACAGUGGGUAACACACACAUAAUUCCACGCAUCAGGAUACAGGCAGCUACCAUUGCCAUCAGCCGAUGCGCUGCCGGAAGAGGAUUUAGUCUUCCAGUGCAGAAGAGCGGACAUAUAGUGAUAUGCAGGAUUCCAGGGUCUGACUAUACAAAAACUACAUCCCUCACCGAAAAACACUAAUGAUCCUUGGAGUGUUGGUUGACAACAAACAUAGCUUCAUCCGUUAAGGAGAAGUGUGUCAUCUGGUUGAAUCUGUUGAAAAGCAGCCGCCUCAUCUAUGGCUUCGAGCUGACGUGAUUGGCUGGAGACAAACUCCCAAACACUCUGGCACCCAUCUACAACAAGGCACUAAGGACUGUCUCCGGCAUACUACCGUCAACACCAGCUACCUCUGUCUGCACUGAAAUUGGAGAGCCUCAUUUCGACCUCAUCAUCGGCUCAGCGAUCGUAUCCAGGACUGCCAGAUUCUCGUCGAAAACCAGCGGUAGGAAGGAGACGGACCUAACUGCUCUUACAAAACGAUCCUGCAACGGCUCAAAAGGAUCAUCAGGAGUUGGAUUCGGGGUAAGCGAUGGUAAUAACAAUCUGAUUUACAGCAAGAAACUCGCUGCUAGGUCUUGUCAGCCAAGGUGGUUUGCAUCUUCGAGGCAACCACAAUUUCAUCUUCCAAGCCGCUGUUGAUCGUCUCCAAUUCGACGAGUGCCAUUGAUGCUAUCGGUGCGGCCAGGUCCUAACUAUCAUGGGUACAUGCCAUCAGGAAGUACCUAUUGCCCGACACUAGGAUCAUGUAGGUCCCCUGUCAGAGUGGUAUCACAGUGGACCAUUUUUCACUCGAUCGAGAGGUGGUUUGCAGAGAUGGCAAUUCCUCAACCAAGGUGUCGAUUGUCAAGUUCGAUGAUGUAAAAAGAAUGAGAGAACAACGAGUCCUGUUCAGACUGAGCACCGGUCAUAGCUCGGUCUCACACGGAAUCAACAGAGAACCUUUUUUUCACAACUUCGUCUAACACUUCUUGUGUGGUUGUCCGAAAUACGAUGAUCUACGAAAUCUCUAUGGACACAGCGAGAAUGUACGAAAUGAACGACGAUUCAACGAGACUAGCAGUGCUUUUCUGCUACUUAGAAGUGCCGAACUAUUCUUCAGGAUCUAACGUCUGAAGUUCAGACUCUGAUCAAUGGAUCAGCCAAGAAGAUCCUUGUUCCUACCCAUCCACGAUAAAGGGGGAAUAACACCAUUUUGGUAUCUUUAGCGGCACGGCUCCCUCUCCAAUAGCCUGGAGCCAUGGCCCGAGGACAUCAUUGCCUUCUAGUCCAGCAAUUUAUUUUGUUAAAAUAUUUUCUAAAAUGUUUUUAUAUGUGUUUAAUUUUCUUGUCUUUUGAAGUUCAACUUUGAUGUAACCAUUUUAUGUGAAAUGAUUUUUUUCUAACCAAGCCUGUCUACUGCCAUCGAUACGUAGGCAAACCAGUCAGGAGUCUGAAAGCCUCUCAAAUAGAGAUAAAAAAAUUAGAUGGUCAGAGCUAGCAAAACGUUGGUUGUUAUUUGACAGAAUAACGAGUUGCACUACCUAUGCACGUGAACUACGAGGAAGUGGGAUCGGUCGCAAUGAAUUUGGGAAACGAUUGUGGAAUGGCAUAGUUCCUACGAUAAAUCCUUAUUAUUAGUUUUUCAUGUUUGUACGAAAAUCGAACAUCGCAAGUAGAUUCCACUUUUCAUAAAUGAUUACAAUUUCGCAAAGUAUCGAAAUUUCUUCAAUUCCUAAAAGCAAAUCCCCAUUUUGUUGACUUCUACACGGCAAUUUUUUUAAAUUUGGAGAGGUAUUACAAUAAAAAUGUAUUAAAAAUAUUUUAAAGGCAAAAGAGAGAUAAAAGUUUUUGAUAUGAAAUAGAAUUUUUGAAAGAGAUUUUUCAACAGUGUAUUUAAAAUGUAGUUUUUUUCAACAACUUUGCGGUACAUCAUAUUUUAAUCAGAUAUUGGAUUUCGAGUUUGAUCACAUAAUGAUGAAAAGUUAGAACAAUAAUUCAAUCGUUUUGCUGUCGAAAGAUGCUGUUAUAUGGUAUGUUACGAUAGCGUUCUUAGGUGGGAUUUCAAUGCUAAUCUUUUUUGUUUGAGAAACUAUAAAUGAUUGUGAUAAGUUGAACAACUUGGUAACCCUUCCAAAUGUUUUGAAUAUAUGAAUCCUCCUUUAGUCCUAACCGUUCGAUAUCGAUAGAGAAAAGAACGUUACGAUGGCUUGCCGUACAAAAAAAUGUAUGCAACAGUGGUUAGCCGAAUAUGUAUUUAUUAUGUGUUUUUUUCGUUAAUAAAAUUAUGUUAUAAUUUUGAAGAUCGAUUGAAGAAAACUUGUUUCAUGUAUUAUCGUUGUUAUAUACAACAACAAUUAUUUCCCUAAUACGAUCACAAUAGUACAUGUUUCAAACAUCUAAUAACACUUGUGUAUAUUGGCAUAUGUAUAUAGUACGGAUACGGGUUAACAAAGAUUCUUAUCGAGACACUUUCGUCCAAUCACAAACUAUUGUCUCAAUUCUUUACAUAACUCAAAAAGCUGGAACUGAUGUGUUUUGAGAUGCAAACUAUGCGCUUCCAGCGAGUCAAGCUCCAGCAGACAAAUUUUACACCCAUACGCGGUUCACUUCUUCUCGUGAAUCUUUGUAUGGGCACGUAGAUUCGAAAGCUGGGUAAACGGUUUUGGACAGGUGUCACACUUGAACGGGCGUUCACCUGAAACAAAAACGUUUUGAAGUUACCCGAGGUGUCCUUGCGGGCGUCGACCAAUCCUAGCUUACCAGUGUGCGAUCUGCGAUGGCGCUUCAGAUCUUCAUUCGAUUUGAAGGUAUUCGAACAGAACUCACAGUUGAAAAUCUUCUCCACAUCGAUCUGGUGUUCCAGCAAGUUGGAUUUGAGCUGAUCCGUCAUUUCGAACGUAUUGCUGCUUGUCACACUUGAAGAACCCGUUGGCUUUGGUGAGCAGUUUCAUGUGUACCUGAAAAAUGUUAAGCGUCGUAUGUAUUGGAUUCAUUUGUUCUCUUAAAAAACAAGGUUGGUCGCAAACCUGGGAAAGUAACUGUACGCCCUAUGUAUUUCUGUUCAAUGUCUGUUCAAUAUUUCGAUGAGAAUUCACUUACAAUUUCUGGGAGAAAGUUAUUCUCGAGCUGCGUGGAAAAUCAUAUCGCGAAACACAACAAUAAAACAAGACACAAUGUUAUAAUGAAAAUCGAUGCAAAAGUAGGCCGGGAUCCUUUAUCCGAAUUCUAAUUUUCAAUCGAAGCAAGCAUUUUGUUGAUGCGACGAUUUUGCUCACUGAGGAUUAUAGUUACAUGAGAGAAGCAACUAUAAUUCUCACCAGAAGCCAAAAUGGAGCGAGGACCAGUUACUUCAAAAAUUCCGUCAAUAUCAAGGAUUCCCAUAUGCUCUUGGGCCAGUCAGGAGACUGGAGCUAGGAAGGAAAAGGAUCGUUCUUCGAAGAAGGGUGUUGAAAAUGUAGGCGAUCAACAAAUGGAGAAAAAACAUCAAAUAUGGUUUUUCAACUACAGUGGAUGGUGGAUGUGGAUAGAAGAAGAAUCAUCGCCGCAGCUUGUCCCAAGUGAUAUCAAGGUAUCGUAUGCGAACUUCAUUGAUUCUAAUAUAGAGAGGAUCGAGGAUAUAACUCCUCCGGAGUUGGUUCCCAGUGACGCGCAUCUGGAGGAUGAUGACGAAGAUGUAUUUGACUGGGAACCAGGAAAUAUUUCGGAAAAGCUGAAGAUAAAAGCUGAAAGAAAUCUCUUGAAAAUAAAGGCAGAGAACGAGAAACUUCGGCAAGAGAACCAGCGAUUGAAGGCUAAAAAAGGCGUUAGCCUAAUAAACCGAUUAUGUUUCCGAUUCAUGCUAUUCAUGGUGGGCGAGGUGGCGGAAUCGGUUUUUAACUCAUUUUAAAUUAAUUGUAUCAACUAAAUGAGGUGGUGAAUGUUUGUUGUGUUGCAUUGUUUUGUGUAUUUUUUGUUGUUGUUGCGAGUUGUUGUUUGAUCCUGUUUUUUGUUAUAUAUUCCACGUUGUAAAUUGUACUUUGCUUUUGUCAUGAGUUUAGUUGAUAUUUUAAAUAUUUUAUUGUUUUCAUUUCCGUUUAGUUUCAUGCUUUGUUUCUCUU
This is a long non-coding RNA of Toxorhynchites rutilus septentrionalis, 4202 nucleotides long. RefSeq lists it as uncharacterized. The transcript is spliced from 3 exons. The record is from RefSeq and is a predicted model, not a curated record. NCBI's taxonomy places the organism in Eukaryota, Metazoa, Arthropoda, Insecta, Diptera, Culicidae.